AGUGGGGAAUCUUGGACAAUGGGGGCAACCCUGAUCCAGCCAUGCCGCGUGAGUGAUGAAGGCCUUAGGGUCGUAAAGCUCUUUCGCCUGUGAAGAUAAUGACGGUAGCAGGUAAAGAAACCCCGGCUAACUCCGUGCCAGCAGCCGCGGUAAUACGGAGGGGGUUAGCGUUGUUCGGAAUUACUGGGCGUAAAGCGCACGUAGGCGGACUGGAAAGUUGGGGGUGAAAUCCCGGGGCUCAACCCCGGAACUGCCUCCAAAACUAUCAGUCUAGAGUUCGAGAGAGGUGAGUGGAAUUCCGAGUGUAGAGGUGAAAUUCGUAGAUAUUUGGAGGAACACCAGUGGCGAAGGCGGCUCACUGGCUCGAUACUGACGCUGAGGUGCGAAAGUGUGGGGAGCAAA
This 402-nucleotide ribosomal RNA is filed under the name uncultured Ruegeria sp. RNAcentral describes it as "bacterial SSU rRNA". It matches the Rfam family "Bacterial small subunit ribosomal RNA", at positions 353 to 772 of the family's 1533-position model. Lineage: Bacteria; Pseudomonadati; Pseudomonadota; Alphaproteobacteria; Rhodobacterales; Roseobacteraceae. The record is from RNAcentral.